This 510-nucleotide ribosomal RNA is filed under the name uncultured eukaryote. RNAcentral describes it as "SSU rRNA". It matches the Rfam family "Eukaryotic small subunit ribosomal RNA", at positions 27 to 532 of the family's 1831-position model. The record is from RNAcentral.
UAUGCUUGUCUCAAAGAUUAAGCCAUGCAUGUCUAAGUACAAGCUGUACGAGGCGAAACUGCGGGAUGGCUCAUUAAAUCAGUCAUAGGUUCCUUGGAUCGAGUUUCCCUUACAUGGAUAACUGUGGUAAUUCUAGAGCUAAUACAUGCCAAGAAGCGCCCGACCUUACGGAAGGCGUGCUUUUAUUAGGAUCAAGACCAACACGGGCUUGCCCGGCUUGUUGGUGAACUCUGGAUAACUUCGCAAGAUCGCAUUGUCAUCGAACAGGCGACAUUUCUUCAAACGUCUGACCUAUCAAUUUCGAUGGUACGAUAUGCGCCUACCAUGGUGCUAACGGGUGACGGGAAUCAGGGUUCGAUUCCGGAGAGGGAGCCUGAGAAAUGGCUACCACAUCCAAGGAAGGCAGCAGGCGCGCAAAUUACCCCACUCUCGACACGAGGAGGUAGUGACGAAAAUACAAUACAGGACCUUUACGAGGCCCUGUAAUUGGAAUGAGUACACUUUAAAUCC